Molecule: ribosomal RNA, 353 nt
Filed under: Streptomyces sp. NEAU-H3
Lineage: Bacteria; Bacillati; Actinomycetota; Actinomycetes; Kitasatosporales; Streptomycetaceae
Description: SSU rRNA
Rfam family: Eukaryotic small subunit ribosomal RNA
Source: RNAcentral
GGUGGUGCAUGGCCGUUCUUAGUUGGUGGGUUGCCUUGUCAGGUUGAUUCCGGUAACGAACGAGACCUCAGCCUGCUAAAUAGUCACGGCUACUUUUUUGUAGCCGUCCGACUUCUUAGAGGGACUAUUGUCGUUUAGGCAAUGGAAGUGUGAGGCAAUAACAGGUCUGUGAUGCCCUUAGUUGCAUUCAACGAGCCUAUCCUUGACCGAGAGGUCCGGGUAAUCUUUGAAACUGCAACGUGAUGGGGAUAGAUUAUUGCAAUUAUUAGUCUUCAACGAGGAAUGCCUAGUAAGCGCGAGUCAUCAGCUCGCGUUGACUACGUCCCUGCCCUUUGUACACACCGCCCGUCGCU